GUAGCCUACGGGACGCAGCAGGGGGGGAUAUUGGACAAUGGGGGGAACCCUGAUCCAGCGACGCCGCGUGAGUGAAGAAGUAUCUCGGUAUGUAAAGCUCUAUCAGCAGGGAAGAAAGAAAUGACGGUACCUGAGUAAGAAGCCCCGGCUAACUACGUGCCAGCAGCCGUGGUAAUACGUAGGGGGCAAGCGUUAUCCGGAAUUACUGGGUGUAAAGGGAGCGUAGACGGUGAAGUAAGUCUGGAGUGAGAGGCGGGGGGCCCACCCCC
RNAcentral lists this ribosomal RNA (269 nucleotides) under uncultured bacterium. Its description in RNAcentral is "partial 16S ribosomal RNA". It matches the Rfam family "Bacterial small subunit ribosomal RNA", at positions 334 to 617 of the family's 1533-position model. The record is from RNAcentral.